Long non-coding RNA from Canis lupus familiaris (dog), 211 nucleotides. RefSeq lists it as uncharacterized. Lineage: Eukaryota; Metazoa; Chordata; Mammalia; Carnivora; Canidae. The record is from RefSeq and is a predicted model, not a curated record. The transcript has 3 exons.
GAGCCAGCGAGCGCCGCCGCCGCCGCCCGGACGGGAACGCAGCGCGCGCGGCCAUGGCCUCGGGCCCCGCGGAGGCGGACACGCGGCAGAGGCUGCUGCGCACUGUCAAGAAGGAGGUGAAGCAGAUCAUGGAGGAGGCCGUCACACGGAAGUUUGUCCACGAGGACAGCAGCCACAUCAUCUCCUUCUGUGGUGAGUCCGUGGCCUGUGG